UACAGAGGGUGCAAACGUUGUUCGGAAUUACUGGGCGUAAAGCGCGUGUAGGCGGUCGGGCAAGUCGGAUGUGAAAGCCCCGGGCUCAACCCGGGAAGUGCAUUCGAUACUGCUUGGCUAGAGUACUGGAGAGGAUGGUGGAACUCUCGGUGUAGAGGUGAAAUUCGUAGAUAUCGAGAAGAACACCGGCGGCGAAGGCGGCCAUCUGGACAGAUACUGACGCUGAGACGCGAAAGCGUGGGGAGCAAACAGG
Molecule: ribosomal RNA, 253 nt
Filed under: uncultured bacterium
Lineage: Bacteria
Description: partial 16S ribosomal RNA
Rfam family: Bacterial small subunit ribosomal RNA
Source: RNAcentral